Molecule: ribosomal RNA, 2861 nt
Filed under: Salmonella enterica subsp. enterica serovar Typhimurium
Lineage: Bacteria; Pseudomonadati; Pseudomonadota; Gammaproteobacteria; Enterobacterales; Enterobacteriaceae
Description: bacterial LSU rRNA
Rfam family: Bacterial large subunit ribosomal RNA
Source: RNAcentral
AGCGUACACGGUGGAUGCCCUGGCAGUCAGAGGCGAUGAAGGGCGUGCUAAUCUGCGAUAAGCGCCGGUAAGGUGAUAUGAACCGUUAUAACCGGCGAUACCCGAAUGGGGAAACCCAGUGUGAUUCGUCACACUAUCAUUAACUGAAUCCAUAGGUUAAUGAGGCGAACCGGGGGAACUGAAACAUCUAAGUACCCCGAGGAAAAGAAAUCAACCGAGAUUCCCCCAGUAGCGGCGAGCGAACGGGGAGGAGCCCAGAGCCUGAAUCAGCAUGUGUGUUAGUGGAAGCGUCUGGAAAGGUGCGCGAUACAGGGUGACAGCCCCGUACACAAAAGCGCAUGUGCUGUGAGCUCGAUGAGUAGGGCGGGACACGUGGUAUCCUGUCUGAAUAUGGGGGGACCAUCCUCCAAGGCUAAAUACUCCUGACUGACCGAUAGUGAACCAGUACCGUGAGGGAAAGGCGAAAAGAACCCCGGCGAGGGGAGUGAAAAAGAACCUGAAACCGUGUACGUACAAGCAGUGGGAGCACAGGUUUACCUGUGUGACUGCGUACCUUUUGUAUAAUGGGUCAGCGACUUAUAUUCUGUAGCAAGGUUAACCGAAUAGGGGAGCCGGAGGGAAACCGAGUCUUAAUUGGGCGUUAAGUUGCAGGGUAUAGACCCGAAACCCGGUGAUCUAGCCAUGGGCAGGUUGAAGGUUGGGUAACACUAACUGGAGGACCGAACCGACUAAUGUUGAAAAAUUAGCGGAUGACCUGUGGCUGGGGGUGAAAGGCCAAUCAAACCGGGAGAUAGCUGGUUCUCCCCGAAAGCUAUUUAGGUAGCGCCUCGUGAAUUCAUCUCCGGGGGUAGAGCACUGUUUCGGCUAGGGGGCCAUCCCGGCUUACCAACCCGAUGCAAACUGCGAAUACCGGAGAAUGUUAUCACGGGAGACACACGGCGGGUGCUAACGUCCGUCGUGAAGAGGGAAACAACCCAGACCGCCAGCUAAGGUCCCAAAGUCAUGGUUAAGUGGGAAACGAUGUGGGAAGGCCCAGACAGCCAGGAUGUUGGCUUAGAAGCAGCCAUCAUUUAAAGAAAGCGUAAUAGCUCACUGGUCGAGUCGGCCUGCGCGGAAGAUGUAACGGGGCUAAACCAUGCACCGAAGCUGCGGCAGCGAACGUAUCACCCAAGACAACUUUACGGAGUUGACGAUUGACGGAGCGAAGCGACGUCAAAGCGUUCAUUAAAGUCGAGUUGGCUUAGGGAUACGUUCGUUGGGUAGGGGAGCGUUCUGUAAGCCUGUGAAGGUGUGUCGUGAGGCAUGCUGGAGGUAUCAGAAGUGCGAAUGCUGACAUAAGUAACGAUAAAGCGGGUGAAAAGCCCGCUCGCCGGAAGACCAAGGGUUCCUGUCCAACGUUAAUCGGGGCAGGGUGAGUCGACCCCUAAGGCGAGGCCGAAAGGCGUAGUCGAUGGGAAACGGGUUAAUAUUCCCGUACUUGGUGUUACUGCGAAGGGGGGACGGAGAAGGCUAUGUUGGCCGGGCGACGGUUGUCCCGGUUUAAGCGUGUAGGUGUGUGUUCCAGGUAAAUCCGGUUCACUUUAACACUGAGGCGUGAUGACGAGGCACUACGGUGCUGAAGCAACAAAUGCCCUGCUUCCAGGAAAAGCCUCUAAGCAUCAGGUAACAUCAAAUCGUACCCCAAACCGACACAGGUGGUCAGGUAGAGAAUACCAAGGCGCUUGAGAGAACUCGGGUGAAGGAACUAGGCAAAAUGGUGCCGUAACUUCGGGAGAAGGCACGCUGACACGUAGGUGAAGUGAUUUACUCACGGAGCUGAAGUCAGUCGAAGAUACCAGCUGGCUGCAACUGUUUAUUAAAAACACAGCACUGUGCAAACACGAAAGUGGACGUAUACGGUGUGACGCCUGCCCGGUGCCGGAAGGUUAAUUGAUGGGGUCAGCGCAAGCGAAGCUCCUGAUCGAAGCCCCGGUAAACGGCGGCCGUAACUAUAACGGUCCUAAGGUAGCGAAAUUCCUUGUCGGGUAAGUUCCGACCUGCACGAAUGGCGUAAUGAUGGCCAGGCUGUCUCCACCCGAGACUCAGUGAAAUUGAACUCGCUGUGAAGAUGCAGUGUACCCGCGGCAAGACGGAAAGACCCCGUGAACCUUUACUAUAGCUUGACACUGAACAUUGAGCCUUGAUGUGUAGGAUAGGUGGGAGGCUUUGAAGUGUGGACGCCAGUCUGCAUGGAGCCGACCUUGAAAUACCACCCUUUAAUGUUUGAUGUUCUAACGUGGACCCGUAAUCCGGGUUGCGGACAGUGUCUGGUGGGUAGUUUGACUGGGGCGGUCUCCUCCUAAAGAGUAACGGAGGAGCACGAAGGUUGGCUAAUCCUGGUCGGACAUCAGGAGGUUAGUGCAAUGGCAUAAGCCAGCUUGACUGCGAGCGUGACGGCGCGAGCAGGUGCGAAAGCAGGUCAUAGUGAUCCGGUGGUUCUGAAUGGAAGGGCCAUCGCUCAACGGAUAAAAGGUACUCCGGGGAUAACAGGCUGAUACCGCCCAAGAGUUCAUAUCGACGGCGGUGUUUGGCACCUCGAUGUCGGCUCAUCACAUCCUGGGGCUGAAGUAGGUCCCAAGGGUAUGGCUGUUCGCCAUUUAAAGUGGUACGCGAGCUGGGUUUAGAACGUCGUGAGACAGUUCGGUCCCUAUCUGCCGUGGGCGCUGGAGAACUGAGGGGGGCUGCUCCUAGUACGAGAGGACCGGAGUGGACGCAUCACUGGUGUUCGGGUUGUCAUGCCAAUGGCACUGCCCGGUAGCUAAAUGCGGAAGAGAUAAGUGCUGAAAGCAUCUAAGCACGAAACUUGCCCCGAGAUGAGUUCU